This 417-nucleotide ribosomal RNA is filed under the name Staphylococcus aureus. Its description in RNAcentral is "partial 23S ribosomal RNA". It matches the Rfam family "Bacterial large subunit ribosomal RNA", at positions 819 to 1240 of the family's 2925-position model. Lineage: Bacteria; Bacillati; Bacillota; Bacilli; Caryophanales; Staphylococcaceae. The record is from RNAcentral.
GGAGAAAUUCCAAUCGAACCUGGAGAUAGCUGGUUCUCUCCGAAAUAGCUUUAGGGCUAGCCUCAAGUGAUGAUUAUUGGAGGUAGAGCACUGUUUGGACGAGGGGCCCCUCUCGGGUUACCGAAUUCAGACAAACUCCGAAUGCCAAUUAAUUUAACUUGGGAGUCAGAACAUGGGUGAUAAGGUCCGUGUUCGAAAGGGAAACAGCCCAGACCACCAGCUAAGGUCCCAAAAUAUAUGUUAAGUGGAAAAGGAUGUGGCGUUGCCCAGACAACUAGGAUGUUGGCUUAGAAGCAGCCAUCAUUUAAAGAGUGCGUAAUAGCUCACUAGUCGAGUGACACUGCGCCGAAAAUGUACCGGGGCUAAACAUAUUACCGAAGCUGUGGAUUGUCCUUUGGACAAUGGUAGGAGAGCGUU